GAGCUGAGGUCUGAGACGUCAAAUCGGGUUAGGCCUGAGUAAAUAAUGAUACGUUUACUUGAUCUUUGAUUGGGCCCCAACCGUAAUUUUUGAAAUUAACAACAUUAAACCUCAACCGCCCUCAUGUUCAUAAGUUCAUUUACUCUCUUGUCCCGCCAAAAGCCGAUACUCUAAAUCACUGUCUCCCUCCAUACGCGCCACCUUUCCCCCUCCCCCUCCGCCUCAAAACUCCGAGAUCAUUUACUCCUUUCUGCCACCACCACCAUCCCUUUCUCCAAACACCAAGAAAACUGAUCCCUAAACCGAACAAAAAAGCAAAACCCGAAGACCGACCCCCUUCGUCGCUUGAUGAGAUAAAGCCGAUACAUUCUGACUUGCUUUCGAUUUUCAGUCCGGUUACAGAGAGAGCAUCUAGACGGUGAGGCCUAUUGGGCUGAGAGUACCAAAGUACUCACCGUUCGGACUAGGUCUGUGGACCCGAAGGUGAAAUCCGUGGAGGGCUUGGAGGACCCGAAAUUAGAGGAGAAGAGGAGGCUCUUGGGGGAGCCGAUUCAGGGAUGCCUCUUACUGAGGCUGAGAGGAAGUUUCUGGAGAAAUGUCAGAGAAAUAGAAUUAAAAGGCAAAUAAAUUUAGUUGAAAAGGAGCAGAUUGUGGUGUGGAGAGGAAAAAACUAUAAUCCUUCCAGAGAAUGGACUUUCCAUCACUGACUGAAUAUUUUUUGAUGACCCAAGCUUGGGACGUGGAGAGGUGUUAUAGCUCCGAUGAGAGUAGUGAUCAAUAGGUCUGCUUCUGUGUUUUAUGUUCACUGCAUAGGUGAAGUAAUUAUAUGCCUUCUCACUUCUCUUGGAAAAGGGAAAAAGUUGGGAACUGUAUAUGAAGAUAUCUCCCUGUUUAUGAUAUGAGAUCUGGAAUACCUAAUGCCAUCAACCAAGAUUGCAUCUUGGUCUUUCAUUUUGUCAUAA
Molecule: long non-coding RNA, 962 nt
Organism: Gossypium arboreum
Lineage: Eukaryota; Viridiplantae; Streptophyta; Magnoliopsida; Malvales; Malvaceae
Exons: 2
Source: RefSeq, a predicted model, not a curated record